GCAAAUACAGCUCUUUUGA
This 19-nucleotide small nuclear RNA is filed under the name Arabidopsis thaliana (thale cress). Its description in RNAcentral is "snRNA_15168". The record is from RNAcentral. Lineage: Eukaryota; Viridiplantae; Streptophyta; Magnoliopsida; Brassicales; Brassicaceae.